UACAGAGGUGGCAAGCGUUGUUCGGAAUUACUGGGCGUAAAGGGCGCGUAGGCGGCCUUCUAAGUCAGACGUGAAAUCCCCAGGCUUAACUUGGGAACUGCGUCUGAUACUGGGAGGCUUGAGUGCGGGAGAGGGAUGUGGAAUUCCAGGUGUAGCGGUGAAAUGCGUAGAUAUCGGGAAGAACAUCGGUGGCGAAAGCGCUCUACUGGACCGCAACUGACACUCAGGGACGAAAGCUAGGGGAGCGAAUGGG
This 253-nucleotide ribosomal RNA is filed under the name uncultured bacterium. RNAcentral describes it as "partial 16S ribosomal RNA". It matches the Rfam family "Bacterial small subunit ribosomal RNA", at positions 524 to 776 of the family's 1533-position model. The record is from RNAcentral.